Unclassified non-coding RNA from Pongo abelii (Sumatran orangutan), 148 nucleotides. It matches the Rfam family "Metazoan signal recognition particle RNA". From Rfam's summary of the family: The signal recognition particle (SRP) is a universally conserved ribonucleoprotein. It is involved in the co-translational targeting of proteins to membranes. The eukaryotic SRP consists of a 300-nucleotide 7S RNA and six proteins: SRPs 72, 68, 54, 19, 14, and 9. Lineage: Eukaryota; Metazoa; Chordata; Mammalia; Primates; Hominidae. The record is from Ensembl.
GCCGGGCAUGUUGGCACGUGCCUGUAGUCCCAGCUACUCAGGAGGCUGAGGCAGGAGAAUCGUUUGAACCCAGGAGGCAGAGGUUGCAGUGAGCCGAGAUUGAGCCACUGUACUCCAGCCUGGGUGACAGAGCGAAACUCUGUCUCAA